AAAUAAAUAAACGUUUGCCCAUUUACAUUACAAAUUACAGUAAGCUCUCUAAAGCUUCAACCAAAUCGCCGGCGACUGUUGGAGUUUCUCCGGGAAGCAAAAGGUGUGCGACCGAGAGAAAUGGCACGAGGGUUGAUAUGGGCUACAGCAGAAGACUUGGCAAAGAAUAGGGGAAGAGUUCUGUCUUUGUAUAGGCAAAUCUUGAGGAGCCUUAACUCACCAGCUUUGCCAUUAAGCUUAGCAGUUAGACUUCAAAAGAAAGCUGAGGUCCGUGCCAUGUUCAUGUUGGGUUCCGAGGAGCAAUCUAUUCAUAACAUUCAAGAUCUUAUUGAUGCUGCUGAAUACUCUCUUUCCAUUUUAAAAAAAGGCAAAAUUCCAUAGCACAUUCAAGUUUGUCAAUAUAAGCCCGGACAAUUUUCUUUGGUCUAAAUUUGAGUAUUAUCAAAUGAGAAGAAACAAAACAUCAUUCUGAUGAAGAGAACAAGAUAAAUAACUCAUAGAAUUCCAAGGUUUGAAGCAGAUCAAAGUGAUAUCUAGUACUAGCAACUUAAAAGUCUUUGCUGAAGAUUUCUCUUGUGCAACAUGAGUCUCUAAUCAUCUCCAAAGAGGCUUCAGCAGCCUGUAAAUUAUACCAUUGAUGGAGGUAGACGAUAUAUGACAUUAUUCUGUUGCAGACUAUACACACGAGGAUAUCAGUAUGCGUCUGAAUUAUUUAUCAUUUUUUGUCCCCUGCAUACAGGCUGAAUUACAGAGAUGGAGAAUGACACAGAUGUUUAUAUAUGAUAAAACAAGAAGUUGAGACCUGAGAAUUAUUAGUAUUUGUAGUGAUUUCUUCUGUUUUGUGCUAUCAAAGUGUUAUUGAUGUGUUUUAUGUGCAUUCCAAAGUUAGUACUUUUGCUUUGUUUGAUACUUGGCUCAACUGUUUCCUGAUGUUAAAAUGGUUUAUUUCGUAUA
Molecule: RNA transcript, 954 nt
Organism: Solanum dulcamara
Lineage: Eukaryota; Viridiplantae; Streptophyta; Magnoliopsida; Solanales; Solanaceae
Exons: 4
Source: RefSeq, a predicted model, not a curated record